GCCCUGGUGGCUCAGCCUGGUAGAGCGCCUCCUUGGUAAGGAGGAAGUCGCGGGUUCGAAGCCCGCCCAGGGCUCCA
RNAcentral lists this transfer RNA (77 nucleotides) under Methanobacteriota archaeon. RNAcentral's name for it is "Euryarchaeota archaeon tRNA-Thr". It matches the Rfam family "tRNA". From Rfam's summary of the family: Transfer RNA (tRNA) molecules are approximately 80 nucleotides in length. The record is from RNAcentral. Lineage: Archaea; Methanobacteriati; Methanobacteriota. RNAcentral also lists the same sequence under 1 other name.